CACAUCUCUGGCAUAUAUAGUUACAGUUGCCACUUGCCUUCGGAGUAGCAGUAAAGAAGAGACCAGUUGUGAGCGCGAGCGGAGGAUCCGUCACGUUCGCAAACUAGCUAGCUGUGCGACCAAGUUGUUUUCUUCGCAACGCAUUGAGUCUUUGUACUAUUUUUCUACCCCACCCCACCACCACCACCACCAACACCACUAAUGCCGAGCCGUCAUUAAAGCUCAGUUAAAUCAGUUUAGCCGACGUGUGCGUCUGGUGCUUUGGCCGGCUCGCCAAUGCUUCUGCAUCAGUUUAUGAACGGAGCCCUGGAAGCCAUGCAUCCCACAGCGCUCCAGAAGGACACCACUUUUACCAAAAUCUUCGUCGGCGGACUGCCGUACCACACGAACGACGCUUCUCUGAGAAAAUACUUCGAGGCCUUUGGAGACAUUGACGAGGCUGUAGUGAUAACCGACAGGCAGACGGGCAAAUCGAGAGGCUACGGCUUUGUAACGAUGACAGACCGAGGGGCGGCAGAGAGAGCCUGUAAGGAUCCCAACCCCAUCAUUGAUGGCAGAAAGGCCAAUGUCAAUCUGGCCUACCUUGGUGCCAAGCCCCGAAGCUUACAAACAGGCAUAUCCAUCGGAGUGCAGCCCAUUCACCCAGCAUUCAUCCAGAGGCAGUAUGGGAAUUGUGGUGAAAGAAAGGCCUCGGUUUCCUUUAAGAACUAGUACACUUCCAAAUGACAGAGCCCCUGUCUUGAUGCAAUGAUCCAAUCCAUCUUUUUCCCAUUUUUGCUGGACAAUAAUCCUCCUCCUGUCCAACUUCCUGCCUGCCACGGUUGCUGUAUGCUGCCAGCUGACGAUCAGAGGACCCACCCCCCUUCUCCCCCAAAUAUAAGACUAGUCCUGAGGAAGGGUUUGACAGAAAAUGUCCCACCCCCACAUCUCCUCCCUGCGCAAGGUGCCAGUGAUGGCUUGAGAGUGCUGUGCUGUGCAGUGUGGAGUGCCUUUUUAUCUUUCCCAGUUUUGUGUGCGAGUGAUAUGAAGUGAAGAGGUCACACUGAUUGUGGUGUGACUCUACCUAUUAUGGCAUGGUUUGGGGUUUGCAGUGGUUGCUGGCGUGUGGGAGGGGGCUGUGUGCGUGUGUGUCAGGGACCGUGAUGACAUCCUUAUCCUUGCAUGCUUCCGUCUCUUGCUUUUUUGAUUCCACGGCAGCCUCUCAUUACUGAUGAUUUAAGACUCAAAUUGAAACAUUUUUAUCAGCACUGAGAGGCAGCUCAAUGAGUGACAUUUUUUGUGACGGUCUUGUCUCUGUCCAUACAUGUUUUGCCACUCAAAACAAUCGCAUUCAGUUUUGAAAGCAGAAGGGGUCUCGAGCUACUGUUUUUUGUUUUUUUUUUUUGUAUAUAAAAGGGAAACUUCUAUCUGCUAUUCCUCUCUGCUCUACCUUUCAAACACUUUAAAGACCAGUUUUGCUGUGCUCUUAUGCCGUGUCUUCUUUUUCCAUUAAUCGGCUAAUAAUAGCCCAAAUCAGCUAAAGUCGACUUGAUUUUUUUCCCUCCUCUCUGUUGUAGAUUUAAACAAAUGAUAAUGGACAAACUAUCAUUUUUGAUGUAUGUUACUUAAAAAAAAUGGCACUAGAAGCACUGCAGCUGGGGGGGGGGGAUCUCAUAAGUCAUGUUCAAACCUAGGUUGAUGCAAAAUUUCUGCCUCGAAGCUCUGCCAAGACCAAAAACUAAAAAAGUUCAGCCCAGAACUAUUUUUGCGCAGGUGGAACAAAUGUUUCACACGGACAUUUAUUGCAGACUGACGCAGAGUGUCUGUAAGUGAUUUUUAAAACGUUGGUAGAUGUGUAAUAUACAGUACAUAUAACAUGGUGUAUGAUUGAUGUGAAGUUAUUUUGUUUUGUUUUUUUAGCUAAAAUGUUACUUGCAAUUCCUAACCAUUUAGCAUUUUGCUGUCUCAAAUUCUGUGCACCAAGUUUCUACCAGGCACUGACUACAAUCAUAUACAGUUUAAGGAUUGAAGUCCAUCCCUUAUAAAUGGGAAUAAAAUAUUAAUAAUAAAAUUAGUUGUAAAAGAAAAAUUUAUUUAACUUAUUUAAUCCUAGCCUUUUUUCAAGAGAACCCCCCCCCACCCCCACCUCGAUUACCAGCUAUUUUAGAGCAUUUUAAUCAAUCUUUCAAACUACAAAAAAGUUUAUUUCUACCUUUUUACAUUCCUUCGUCAUUAGUGGUAGAAUUUAAAUUAUACCGACAUUCUAAAUUGUUUGUUUUUAUGGGGAUUAAUUUUGCUCUAAAGGCUAAUCCUUUGAUGAGCCCCCUUCUGAAGCUGUGGCACAUAAAGACGUGAAAAUGCGUCUUUGGGAUUGGGUGAUCACAUUCUAAAAUAUAUAGAACUAUGUUUUGGGUUUUAAAUGGGUCAGCAGUUGGGGGGAGGGGUAUUUAUUAUAGUUUUACCAAUUGUCAAUAGGAGAAUCAAUUCUGAAAAGAUUUAAUGGCGACGGCCAUACUGCAAUCUGUUAGUUGGUCUGCAAAGAAUCCUUGCAUGGCAAUGGAAUGGUGAGUCCAUAAUAUACUCUUCUCAAACGCCACCUUCCCACCAACUGGUAUAGCUAACACAAAGAGGAAUAUGACCUAUUAUUUAAUACUGCCUGUUGAAAUUCUUCAUUAACAAUAAAUGUAUAGUUCUGUUUGUCUUCUUGGCAUAAGUUUCUUGCAAAAUGCACUAGCUCUGCGACAAUGACCUUUUUAAUAUUAAUGUCAUUUUGACAUACCACAAGAGUUAAUACAAGAGCACAUGAUGAUACAAAAAAAUGCAAGCAAUUUUAUCCACAAAAUUUUGAUGAUAGUGGUUUUCACCAUUUGAUGUCGCUGAUGGGAACCGUUCAGAAUAAUAGCAUCCACCUGUCAGCCUGUUUUAAGCAGGAAGUUGCUUGCUCGCUAACAGGUGGACAAACAUGAAUAUGAGUCACCGCAUCAGUGUACUUCUGCUAAUAAAGACAUUUACAGUAGUUAUACUGAAUUGUAUGUGGUCAUUUUAGGAUCGUCAACAGUCAUUGCUAGUGACUGCAAAAGACAUUUGCACUGUAUUGGAUGUAAACUAAAUAAUGGUUUUCAGCAGGUCCAGCUUGGGAGUCGAGGGUCAGGACUUGAGCCAUGCUUUGUAAAAAAAACAAAGCAAUAGCCACAAGUUGUUGGAUGCUAGUCUACAUCCUGACUACUGCCAAGGUGCUUUUGAGCAUCACACUGACACGCUUUCAGCUCAGGAGUCCGGUCACCCUUUGCACACUUUUUCACUUUGAUAUUCGUGCAUGUGUGUCGUGUGCUUGUCUUAUAUGGUGUGAGAAAGAAAAUGAGUUGUUGAUUCCUGGUUAAAUAAAAAAAAAAAAGUGGGUGGAGGGUGAAUUGUAGAGACCCUGCACCACAUAGCUUUAAUCACCUAAGAGCUACAGGACCUGACAGCAGCAUUGAUAAGCACCGUGUGUGUGUGUGUGGUGUGUGUGUGUGUGUGUGUGUGUGUAUAUGUGUGUGUAUGUGUGUGGUUUACGGGUUGUGUGUGCGCGUGAAAAGCAGCAGCAGCUGUUGAAACACUCUGCUGGUGCCUGAACUUGAAAACCUGCCAGUAACGGCUGACUCUGUCAUUCAGGCGGCCCUCCCCACGCUUGGAGCUGAGAAGGCCUAACCGAACAUGUUUGAUCGGUUUUCACUAACUGACAUCAGUCGAGUCCUCUCCAUCUCUUCCUAACUGCCUGUGGUUGGCCCCGCCCUACGUCUACCCACAAGCUUAUGUGCAGCCCAGCCUGGUGCUGCCCGCCCAGCUCUCGUCCUCUGUGAGUAGCAGCCCUUACCUUGACUACACCGCGGCCUACACGCAGUACACCCAGG
Syngnathoides biaculeatus (alligator pipefish) is the source of this 3869-nucleotide RNA transcript. It is a transcript of the gene named RNA-binding protein 38-like, with no coding region annotated. The record is from RefSeq and is a predicted model, not a curated record. The transcript has 5 exons. NCBI's taxonomy places the organism in Eukaryota, Metazoa, Chordata, Actinopteri, Syngnathiformes, Syngnathidae.